RNAcentral lists this ribosomal RNA (339 nucleotides) under Burkholderia cenocepacia. RNAcentral's name for it is "bacterial LSU rRNA". It matches the Rfam family "Bacterial large subunit ribosomal RNA", at positions 2598 to 2925 of the family's 2925-position model. The record is from RNAcentral. Lineage: Bacteria; Pseudomonadati; Pseudomonadota; Betaproteobacteria; Burkholderiales; Burkholderiaceae.
ACGUGAGCUGGGUUUAAAACGUCGUGAGACAGUUUGGUCCCUAUCUGCCGUGGGCGUUGGAUAUUUGAAGGGGGCUGCUCCUAGUACGAGAGGACCGGAGUGGACGAACCUCUGGUGUACCGGUUGUCACGCCAGUGGCAUCGCCGGGUAGCUAUGUUCGGAAGAGAUAACCGCUGAAAGCAUCUAAGCGGGAAACUCGCCUUAAGAUGAGAUAUCCCUGGGGACUAGAUCCCCUUGAAGGGUCGUUCGAGACCAGGACGUUGAUAGGUCGGGUGUGUAAGCGCAGUAAUGCGUUCAGCUAACCGAUACUAAUUGCCCGUAAGGCUUGAUCCUAUAACA